This 2194-nucleotide ribosomal RNA is filed under the name Methanosaeta sp. PtaB.Bin018. Its description in RNAcentral is "bacterial LSU rRNA". It matches the Rfam family "Archaeal large subunit ribosomal RNA", at positions 733 to 2987 of the family's 2987-position model. The record is from RNAcentral. Lineage: Archaea; Methanobacteriati; Methanobacteriota; Methanomicrobia; Methanotrichales; Methanotrichaceae.
GCAUGAGAAGAGGCGCGACGUAUACAAGUGCGUGCAGUCGUCCGUAUGCGACCCGAAGCCGGGCGAUCUAGGCGUAGGUAGGUCGAAGCGUGGCGAAAGCUGCGUGGAGGACCGUUUGAGGUGUUGAUAUGCAAAUCGCUCUCGUGACCCGCGUCUAGGGGUGAAAGUCCAAUCGAGGUCGGAAAUAGCUGGUUCCUCCCGAAACAUAUCGCAGUAUGACCUGGUCUGAGAUAGUCGGCGGAGUAGAGCACUGAUUGGGGAAGCCGGACCCGAAAGGGUCUGUUCUCUUGUCAAACUCCCAAAUCGCUGUCGUCGUAGACGGCCAGCAGUCCGGGCUGGGGGGUAAGCUUCUAGUCCGUGAGGGAGACAACCCUGACCGUGGUUAAGGUCCCCAAAUAUCGGCCAAGUGUCAACACUUAAGGGAGUCCUGGGUCAUAAACAACUGGGAGGUUAGCUUAGAAGCAGCUAUCCUUUAAAGAGUGCGUAACAGCUCACCAGUCGAGAUUCAGGGCCCCGAAAAUGGACGGGGCUAAGCCGAUUACCGAUACCACGGAGCACCGCAAGGUGAUCUAGUAGGGAGGCGCUCUGCGUGGGCAGAAGCAUCUGCGUGAGCAGGUGUGGACCGCGUAGAGACGAAAAUCCUGGUAGCAGUAGCAGCAAAAUCGGGUGAGAAUCCCGAUCGCCGUAAGGGCCAGGGUUCCUCGGCAAUGUUCGUCAGCCGAGGGUCAGUCGGUCCUAAGACGUACCUUAAUCGGAGUACGCCAAAUGGGAAACAGGUUAAUAUUCCUGUACCUUUCAACAUUAAAACUGACGCUUCCGGAUAUGUCAAGCGUCCUUGCCUGGGCGUUCAAUCGUAUAAUCCUGUGGAGAGCCGUAAUGGCGAGAACCAGGAGAAAGCGUGAUGACGUAAGUUGGCAAAUUCCAGGAGUCCGUGAAAAGGGAGUUGAAAGUCCGUACCGAGAUCCAACACUGGUGCCCCAAGCUGAGAAGGCUAAGGCGUUUCGGCAUAUGCUAGCUAAGGGAAUUCGGCAAAUUAGCCACGUAACUUCGGGAUAAGUGGUGCCUGCUUUGCAAAAAGCAGGUCGCAGUGACGAGGGGACUCUGACUGUCUAAUAACAACAUAGGUGAUUGCGAAUCCGUAAGGACUAGUACAAUCACUGAAUCCUGCCCAGUGCAGGUACCUGAAAACCGGGUUCAACCGGAAGAAGGGCCUGUCAACGGCGGGGGUAACUAUGACCCUCUUAAGGUAGCGUAGUACCUUGCCGCUUAAUUGGCGGCUUGCAUGAAUGGAUCAACGAGAGUCCCACUGUCCCUAGCUGGUACCCGGUGAACCUUACAUUCCAGUGCAGAGUCUGGAGACCCCUAAUGGGAAGUGAAGACCCCGUGGAGCUUUACUGCAGCCUGCCGUUGGGUUGUGGUUCUGAUUGUAGAGCAUAGGUAGGAGACGUCGAAGCUCGGGCGCCAGUCCGAGUGGAGUCGCCCUUGGAAUACUACCCUUUCGGAGCUACCGCCCUAACUCAGAGAUGAGGACCUCGGUAGGUGGGCAGUUUGGGUGGGGCGCCACGCCCUUGAAAAGGUAUCAAGGGCGCCCUAAGGUUGACUCAGUUGGGUCGGAAACCCAACGAAGAGUGUAAAGGCAUAAGUCAGCCUGAUGUUACCUCGAAUAGCAAGAGGUGAUAAGACGAAAGUCGGGCUUAGCGAACCUCUCUGCUCUCUUGGUGAGAGCGUUAGAUGACAGAAAAGCUACCCCGGGGAUAACAGAGUCGUCACCGGCAAGAGCACAUAUCGACCCGGUGGCUUGCUACCUCGAUGUCGGUUCUUUCCAUCCUGGCCGUGCAGCAGCGGCCAAGGGUGAGGUUGUUCGCCUAUUAAAGGAGAUCGUGAGCUGGGUUUAGACCGUCGUGAGACAGGUCGGUUACUAUCUGUUAGGGGUGUUUUGCGGUCUGAGGGAAGGUUGGCUUUAGUACGAGAGGAACAAGCCAACGGCGCCUCUGGUCUAUCGGCUGUCUGGCAAGGCAUGCCGAGCAGCUACGCGCUCGCAGAUAAGGGCUGAAAGCAUCUAAGCCCGAAACUGCUCCUGAAAAGAGACCGCUCAAGGGUACUCGUAGAAGACGAGUUUGAUAGAGCUGGGGUGUACGCACCAAGGCAACGAGGUGUUCAGCUCGCAGCUACUAACAACCCAGCAGCGCUCCGC